CCCCUAGUAACGGCGAGUGAAGAGGGAAGAGCUCAAAUUUUAAAUCUGCCUUGUUCCAAGGUCGAGUUGUAAUUUGAAGAAGCGUUUUCUUGGGCUCGCGGCCGGUAGAAGUUCUUUGGAACAGGACAUCAUAGAGGGUGACAAUCCCGUCCGUGACCGGUCGUGCGUUCAUCUACGAUACGCUUUCAAAGAGUCGAGUUGUUUGGGAUUGCAGCUCCAAACGGGUGGUAAACAUCACCUAAGGCUAAAUAUUGGCGAGAGACCGAUAGCGAACAAGUACCGUGAGGGAAAGAUGAAAAGAACUUUGAAAAGAGAGUUAAACAGUACGUGAAAUUGUUGAAAGGGAAACGAUUGAAGUCAGUCGUGCUGGCGCGAAAUCAACCCUCUCGUCUUGAGAUCACAUGGCGCGACGAGCCUCAAAACCGUCACGAAGCGUGAACUCUUGACGAAAAGGUGCACUUUCGUGUCCGCUGGUUAACAUCAAUUUCGAACGUCAUAAAAAGGCUGGAGGGAUGUGGCUCCUUCGGGAGUGUUAUAACCUUUAGCGGAAUGUGGCGUUCGGGAUUGAGGAUUGCAACGAAUACCUUCAGGGCUGUUCCACCUGGCUUCUCAUUGGUAUCCUGGUGACGACAGCUUGCUGACGUCGUUAGGAUCAGCUUCUGAACAGGCUAGAGUGUGAGCAAAUUCGUUAAGGAUGUUAACGUAAUGGCUUUAAACGACC
Molecule: ribosomal RNA, 721 nt
Filed under: Entrophospora etunicata
Lineage: Eukaryota; Fungi; Glomeromycota; Glomeromycetes; Entrophosporales; Entrophosporaceae
Description: LSU rRNA
Rfam family: Eukaryotic large subunit ribosomal RNA
Source: RNAcentral